RNAcentral lists this unclassified non-coding RNA (338 nucleotides) under soil metagenome. RNAcentral's name for it is "partial contains 5.8S ribosomal RNA, internal transcribed spacer 2, and large subunit ribosomal RNA". The stretch from base 1 to 120 matches the Rfam family "5.8S ribosomal RNA", at positions 35 to 154 of the family's 154-position model. The record is from RNAcentral.
GAUGAAGAACGCAGCGAAAUGCGAUAAGUAGUGUGAAUUGCAGAAUUCAGUGAAUCAUCGAAUCUUUGAACGCACAUUGCGCCCCUUGGUAUUCCAUGGGGCAUGCCUGUUCGAGCGUCAUCUACACCCUCAAGCUCUGCUUGGUGUUGGGCGUCUGUCCCGCCUUUGCGCGCGGACUCGCCCCAAAUCCAUUGGCAGCGUUCCUUGCCCCCUCUCGCGCAGCACAUUGCGCUUCUCGAGGGCGGCUCCGGGACGCGAUCCAGCAAGAUGACCACCGUCUUUGACCUCGGAUCAGGUAGGGAUACCCGCUGAACUUAAGCAUAUCAAUAAGCGGAGGA